Molecule: ribosomal RNA, 847 nt
Filed under: Nitzschia palea
Lineage: Eukaryota; Bacillariophyta; Bacillariophyceae; Bacillariales; Bacillariaceae
Description: partial large subunit ribosomal RNA
Rfam family: Eukaryotic large subunit ribosomal RNA
Source: RNAcentral
GAAUUUAAGCAUAUAAUUAAGCGGAGGAAAAGAAACUAACCAGGAUUCCCUCAGUAAGGGCGACUGAAGCGGGAAGAGCUCAGGAUGUGAAUCUGCGCCUUGUGCGCCGAAUUGUGGUCUGUCGACGGUGGCAUUACUGGCCGGGCCAAGUCCUUUGGAACAAGGCAGCUGAGAGGGUGAGACUCCCGUCCGCCUGGCUGGGUGAGCCACUAGUCUACGAGUCGAGUUGUUUGGGAUUGCAGCUCCAAGUGGGUGGUAAAUUCCAUCUAAAGCUAAAUAUUGGUGGGAGACCGAUAGCGUACAAGUACCGUGAGGGAAAGAUGCAAAGAACUUUGAAAAGAGAGUUAAAGAGUACCUGAAAUUGCUGAAAGGGAAGCGAAGGAAACCAGUGUCGGCUCAGUCAUAUUUCCCUGUCCGCUUGCGGUUUGGGCGCUGUGUCUGGCCUGUGUCGUCCUUGGUUGGGUCUGCUGGAAGAGCGCAGUGAGAGUUGAUCUCUGUUGCUAGCAGCGGGUCUGACUGAGGAGGACGAAAUGGUUUUCUUUACCCCGUCUUGAAACACGGACCAAGGAGUCUAACAUAUGUGCGAGUACAGGGGUGGCAAACCCCCGUGCGUAAUGAAAGUGACAGUGGUUGGACAGUUUUUGCACAAUCCGCCGGCCUCAAUCCCUCGGGAGAACGGUCUGAGUGUGAGCAUACAUGUUGGGACCCGAAAGAUGGUGAACUAUGCCUGAAUAGGGUGAAGCCAGGGGAAACUCUGGUGGAGGCUCGUAGCGAUUCUGACGUGCAAAUCGAUCGUCAAAUUUGGGUAUAGGGGCGAAAGACUAAUCGAACCAUCUAGUAGCUGGUU